This 994-nucleotide ribosomal RNA is filed under the name uncultured bacterium. RNAcentral describes it as "bacterial SSU rRNA". It matches the Rfam family "Bacterial small subunit ribosomal RNA", at positions 378 to 1396 of the family's 1533-position model. The record is from RNAcentral.
AAAGCCNUNAACUANNNNNCACCGGCGUGUGCGAAGAAGGCCUUNNGGGUUNUAAAGCACUUUUAGAGAGGAUGAGGAAGGACGGUACUCUCUGAAUAAGUCUCGGCUAACUACGUGCCAGCAGCCGCGGUAACACGUAGGAGGCAAACGUUAUCCGGAUNUACUGGGCGUAAAGCGCGUGUAGGUGGUUCUGUAAGUAGGGCGUGAAAGCUCCCGGCUCAACUGGGAGAGGCCGUUCUAAACUGCAGAGCUAGAGGAUGGUAGAGGGAGGUGGAAUUCCGGGUGUAGCGGUGGAAUGCGCAGAUAUCCGGAGGAACACCAGUGGCGAAGGCGACCUCCUGGACCACUCCUGACACUCAGACGCGAAAGCUAGGGUAGCAAACGGGAUUAGAGACCCCGGUAGUCCUAGCCCUAAACGAUGUUUACUUGGCGUCGGUGGCUUAAUCGCCAUCGGUGUCGUAGCUAACGCGAUAAGUAAACCGCCUGGGGACUACGGCCGCAAGGUUAAAACUCAAAGGAAUUGACGGGUCCCCGCACAAGCAGCGGAGCGUGUGGUUUAAUUCGUUGCUACACGAAGAACCUUACCUGGGUUUGACAUAGCAGUGGUAGGGAAACGAAAGUGGACCGACCCUUCGGGGAGCUGUUACAGGUGUUGCAUGGCUGUCGUCAGCUCGUGUCGUGAGAUGUUCGGUUAAGUCCGCUAACGAGCGCAACCCGCGUGAUGUGUUACAUGUGUCACAUCAUACUGCCGGUAUUAAGUCGGAGGAAGGUGCGGAUGACGUCAAGUCAGCAUGACCUUUAUAUCCAGGGCUACACACACGCUACAAUGGUCUGUACAAUAGGUUGCCAAGCCGCGAGGCGGAGCCAAUCCUACAAAGCAGGCCUCAGUUCAGAUUGCAGUCUGCAACUCGACUGCAUGAAGUUGGAGUUGCUAGUAACCGCAGGUCAGCUAUACUGCGGUGAAUACGUUCCCGGGGAUUGUACACACCGCCCG